UAUUCUUACUAGGGGGGGCAAGUAUGCCUGAGACGAGUAAUCGGACCCUUUGAACCUGAUUAAGUUAAGACUUGCGUAGGGAAGUGAAUUUAUCGUUUU
This 99-nucleotide non-coding RNA is filed under the name Weissella oryzae. Its description in RNAcentral is "TPP sequence". It matches the Rfam family "TPP riboswitch aptamer (THI element)". From Rfam's summary of the family: Vitamin B(1) in its active form thiamin pyrophosphate (TPP) is an essential coenzyme that is synthesised by coupling of pyrimidine and thiazole moieties in bacteria. The previously detected thiamin-regulatory element, thi box was extended, resulting in a new, highly conserved RNA secondary structure, the THI element, which is widely distributed in eubacteria and also occurs in some archaea. Analysis of operon structures identified a large number of new candidate thiamin-regulated genes, mostly transporters, in various prokaryotic organisms. The record is from RNAcentral. RNAcentral also lists the same sequence under 1 other name. Lineage: Bacteria; Bacillati; Bacillota; Bacilli; Lactobacillales; Lactobacillaceae.